RNAcentral lists this unclassified non-coding RNA (22 nucleotides) under Mus musculus (house mouse). RNAcentral's name for it is "oocyte_clustered_small_RNA10239". Lineage: Eukaryota; Metazoa; Chordata; Mammalia; Rodentia; Muridae. The record is from RNAcentral.
UGAGGGCAUGGACGAGAUGGAG